CUCUUCAUCCCUGCAAGCGGCUGACUUCUUCACCAAGCCUCUACCUGCAGCCCAAUUCAAUAUACAUUUUUCCAAGCUAGGAAUGCAGAACAUCUACUCCUAGCUUGAGGGGGGCUGUUAAAACUUUAGGCCAGUUGGGUUGGGCUUUCUGGGCUUUCCUUUUUCUGUUUUUCUGUUUCAUAUAGUGCACCCCCUUUUCUUUUUGCACCGCUUGUAUAUAAACCCUUUUUAGGGUUUUCUGUAUUCACAACUUCAGAUUAAUGAAAUUCUCUUCCUCUCUUUCUCUCACACCGUGCUUCACCUCUCCUCUGUUUCUUCACACCUCGCUGAUUUCUUUCUCUUUGAUCUUUGUAAAUGCUGCAACUACCUCGAAGCACUCCUUUGAUUUAUCUCUGUUAUUUUGCAUCAACCAUUGGAAAAAUAAGAUGAUAAUAAAAUUGGCUCAGUAAGCAAGAUGCAGUAGCGUGCAUCUGUUUGCACCUCUGACAAUUAACGCAACUGAAGAUAAAUUGGC
This 514-nucleotide long non-coding RNA is filed under the name Phaseolus vulgaris (common bean). RNAcentral describes it as "long non-coding RNA (PVUL_LNC004071)". Lineage: Eukaryota; Viridiplantae; Streptophyta; Magnoliopsida; Fabales; Fabaceae. The record is from RNAcentral.